This 324-nucleotide unclassified non-coding RNA is filed under the name soil metagenome. Its description in RNAcentral is "partial contains 5.8S ribosomal RNA, internal transcribed spacer 2, and large subunit ribosomal RNA". The stretch from base 1 to 120 matches the Rfam family "5.8S ribosomal RNA", at positions 35 to 154 of the family's 154-position model. The record is from RNAcentral.
GAUGAAGAACGCAGCGAAAUGCGAUAAGUAGUGUGAAUUGCAGAAUUCAGUGACUCAUCGAAUCUUUGAACGCACAUUGCGCCCCUUGGUAUUCCAUGGGGCAUGCCUGUUCGAGCGUCAUUUGUACCUUCAAGCUUUGCUUGGUGUUGGGUGUUUGUCCCGAGGGACUCGCCUUAAAGUAAUUGGCAGCCAGUGUUUGGUUUUGAAGCGCAGCACAAGUCGCGAUUCAAGGCUACACGCCCGCUUCCACAAGCCUUUUUUCACUUUUGACCUCGGAUCAGGUAGGGAUACCCGCUGAACUUAAGCAUAUCAAUAAGCGGAGGA